Molecule: long non-coding RNA, 477 nt
Organism: Orbicella faveolata
Lineage: Eukaryota; Metazoa; Cnidaria; Anthozoa; Scleractinia; Merulinidae
Source: RefSeq, a predicted model, not a curated record
UAAUCGGGCUUUGAACAACCCGGCCCAGGAGCUACGCUUUUAGGUUGGCCUAAAUCUAUAUAUUAUCUGCUUUAUAUAUGUAGACACUACACCACCAAGAAGAGUCCUUGACAAAUCAAACGCAAGUUUGUUCGAGAACAAACUAUAUCCAGCUUCAGUUAUACACUUUGGAUCUCCUGAACAACAAGAACACUUCCUCGCUAGAAGAUUAAUAGACAAGUUGUCAACAGUUCUAGAUGCUGAGAAAGCUGUUAUUGAUACAGGGGUGUUAUCUGUUCGUUCUAGCUCAAGACCAGAUAUCGGAGACUCUCUUGUAAGUUCGUCCACAGUGGAUGAUAACGAACAGACAGGAACCUCUCUAGGUGGGGCUGGUGUCCCGGAUAGGCCACGCGAGGGACUAAAUCCGGCCUCCACUAACAGACCUCGCACAGGAGGCGCCAGUAAAGGCGCUGUGCCCAAGUGGUUUAAAGGAACAGG